RNAcentral lists this ribosomal RNA (851 nucleotides) under uncultured organism. RNAcentral describes it as "bacterial SSU rRNA". It matches the Rfam family "Bacterial small subunit ribosomal RNA", at positions 1 to 902 of the family's 1533-position model. The record is from RNAcentral.
UAGAGUUUGAUCCUGGCUCAGGAUGAACGCUGGCGGUCUGCUUAACACAUGCAAGUCGAACGCAACCUUCGGGUUGAGUGGCGGACGGGUGAGUAACGCGUGAGAAUCUGCCUUGGGGCCGGGGACAACCACUGGAAACGGUGGCUAAUACCGGAUAAGCCUUUGGGUAAAAAAUUUAUUGCCCCAAGAGGAGCUCGCGUCUGAUUAGCUAGUUGGUGAGGUAAAAGCUCACCAAGGCAGCGAUCAGUAGCUGGUCUGAGAGGACGAUCAGCCACACUGGGACUGAGACACGGCCCAGACUCCUACGGGAGGCAGCAGUGGGGAAUUUUCCGCAAUGGGCGAAAGCCUGACGGAGCAAGACCGCGUGAGGGAGGAAGGCUCUUGGGUUGUAAACCUCUUUUCUCAGGGAAGAAGCUCUGACGGUACCUGAGGAAUCAGCCUCGGCUAACUCCGUGCCAGCAGCCGCGGUAAUACGGAGGAGGCAAGCGUUAUCCGGAAUUAUUGGGCGUAAAGCGUCCGCAGGUGGCGAUUCAAGUCUGCUGUCAAAGCACGGGGCUUAACUCCGUUAAGGCAGUGGAAACUGAAUAGCUAGAGUGCCGUAGGGGUAGAGGGAAUUCCCGGUGUAGCGGUGAAAUGCGUAGAGAUCGGGAAGAACAUCGGUGGCGAAAGCGCUCUACUGGACGGCAACUGACACUCAGGGACGAAAGCUAGGGGAGCGAAUGGGAUUAGAUACCCCAGUAGUCCUAGCUGUAAACGAUGGAUACUAGGUGUAGCUUGUAUCGACCCGAGCUGUGCCGAAGCUAACGCGUUAAGUAUCCCGCCUGGGGAGUACGCACGCAAGUGUGAAACUC